Molecule: ribosomal RNA, 488 nt
Filed under: Enterobacter hormaechei subsp. steigerwaltii
Lineage: Bacteria; Pseudomonadati; Pseudomonadota; Gammaproteobacteria; Enterobacterales; Enterobacteriaceae
Description: bacterial SSU rRNA
Rfam family: Bacterial small subunit ribosomal RNA
Source: RNAcentral
GGCCUAACACAUGCAAGUCGAACGGUAACAGGAAGCAGCUUGCUGCUUCGCUGACGAGUGGCGGACGGGUGAGUAAUGUCUGGGAAACUGCCUGAUGGAGGGGGAUAACUACUGGAAACGGUAGCUAAUACCGCAUAACGUCGCAAGACCAAAGAGGGGGACCUUCGGGCCUCUUGCCAUCGGAUGUGCCCAGAUGGGAUUAGCUAGUAGGUGGGGUAACGGCUCACCUAGGCGACGAUCCCUAGCUGGUCUGAGAGGAUGACCAGCCACACUGGAACUGAGACACGGUCCAGACUCCUACGGGAGGCAGCAGUGGGGAAUAUUGCACAAUGGGCGCAAGCCUGAUGCAGCCAUGCCGCGUGUAUGAAGAAGGCCUUCGGGUUGUAAAGUACUUUCAGCGGGGAGGAAGGCGAUAAGGUUAAUAACCUUGUCGAUUGACGUUACCCGCAGAAGAAGCACCGGCUAACUCCGUGCCACCAGCCGCGGUA